Molecule: ribosomal RNA, 253 nt
Filed under: uncultured bacterium
Lineage: Bacteria
Description: partial 16S ribosomal RNA
Rfam family: Bacterial small subunit ribosomal RNA
Source: RNAcentral
UCCAGAGGGUGCGAGCGCUAAUCGGAAUAACUGGGCGUAAAGCGCACGUAGGUGGCGAGGUAAGUCGGGUGUGAAAGCCCCGGGCUCAACCUGGGAAUUGCAUUCGAGAAUGCAUUGCUGGAGUACGGAAGAGGAGGGCGGAAUUCCCGGUGUAGGGGUGAAAUGCGUAGAUAUCGGGAGGAACAUAAGUGGCGAAGGCGGCCCUCUGGUCCAGUACUGACACUCAAGUGCGAAAGCGUGGGGAGCAAACAGG